This 616-nucleotide ribosomal RNA is filed under the name Carlito syrichta (Philippine tarsier). Its description in RNAcentral is "partial 12S ribosomal RNA". It matches the Rfam family "Bacterial small subunit ribosomal RNA", at positions 373 to 1361 of the family's 1533-position model. The record is from RNAcentral. Lineage: Eukaryota; Metazoa; Chordata; Mammalia; Primates; Tarsiidae.
AAACGAAAGUUUGACUAAGUUAUACUAGAUGCACCAGGGUUGGUAAAUUUCGUGCCAGCCACCGCGGUCAUACGAUUAACCCAAACUAAUAAAUAUACGGCGUAAAGCGUGUUUAAUCUAUAUUUAAACUAAAGUUAAAUCCCGACUAAGCUGUAAAAAGCCCCAGUCUGACUUAAAAUAAUCUACGAAAGUGACUUUAAUACUUUGAAGACACGAUAGCUAAGGUCCAAACUGGGAUUAGAUACCCCACUAUGCUUAGCCAUAAACAUAAAUAAAUAUAAACUAAUUUAUUCGCCAGAGUACUACAAGCAACAGCUUAAAACUCAAAGGACUUGGCGGUGCUUCACACCCCUCUAGAGGAGCCUGUUCUAUAACCGAUAAACCCCGAUCAACCUUACCACCUCUUGCUAAUUCAGUCUAUAUACCGCCAUCUUCAGCAAACCCUAAAAAGGCUUUAAAGUAAGCACAAGUAUAAACAUAAAAACGUUAGGUCAAGGUGUAACCUAUGAGGUGGAAAGCAAUGGGCUACAUUCUCUACCUUAGAGUAUUACGAAUAUUCUUAUGAAAAUAAGAAUUAAAGGAGGAUUUAGUAGUAAAUCAAGAAUAGAGAGCUUGG